Molecule: long non-coding RNA, 293 nt
Filed under: Fukomys damarensis (Damara mole-rat)
Lineage: Eukaryota; Metazoa; Chordata; Mammalia; Rodentia; Bathyergidae
Description: lncRNA (ENSFDAG00000024615.1)
Source: RNAcentral
CAGGAAGCUCACUUCUGAGCACCUAUCUCUGAGUCACUGACUCGUGUUCUUCCUGAUUUCCAUUUAAAACAACCUUGUAAAUGGACUUUCUUCUCUCCAGCCUCUCACCUUGCAACCUGCCUCACAGACUUCCUCAAAGAUGUGAAGUACCCGCCACACACCAGGAAGACACAACGGGGAAGAAAACAGCCAAAGUCCCUGAUCUCAGACACAUAUGAUCACAAGUACAUAUGCAAUUGGCCCAUUGUAUCUGCAGGCUCUUCGUCAGGGGAUGCAACCAAACUCAGGUUAAA